UAUGGCCAUAUCCCGUGGAAACAUCGGUUCCCGUAUGAUCACCGAAGUUAAGCAACGUUUUGCUUGGUCAGUACCUAGAUACGUGACCGCAUGGGAAAACAAGGUGUUGUUA
Non-coding RNA from Acanthosepion pharaonis, 112 nucleotides. The record is from the annotation of a GenBank genome assembly. Lineage: Eukaryota; Metazoa; Mollusca; Cephalopoda; Sepiida; Sepiidae.